This is a non-coding RNA of Danio rerio (zebrafish), 47 nucleotides long. The record is from Rfam. Lineage: Eukaryota; Metazoa; Chordata; Actinopteri; Cypriniformes; Danionidae.
CCAAAGGCUCUUUUAAGAGCCACUUCCAUGUCUUUAAGGGACUAUUU